Long non-coding RNA from Mesocricetus auratus (golden hamster), 680 nucleotides. RefSeq lists it as uncharacterized. Lineage: Eukaryota; Metazoa; Chordata; Mammalia; Rodentia; Cricetidae. The transcript has 2 exons. The record is from RefSeq and is a predicted model, not a curated record.
CACUUGCUCCCUGCUCCCUCCCUAUGCACACUUUCACUCAAGGGAGGGGGGAAAGAGAGAGAGAGACAGAGACAGAGAAAAAGGACAAGGAGAGACACAAAGAGGAAAAGGGGACUGUCCAUGACUGGCAUCCCCAGCUCCCCGGCUACGAGGGAGCCAUGGCAACCGGCGUCCAACCCCCUCCCCAGCACCCUCUCGCCCCCCAUGGCUUUCUGUUGAGGUGAGGUGCUGAGCCUCUGUCUUUUCCCUAACCUGGCAGUUCAGGAUCGCUUAUUUCAAGCUGGAGGCUUUUGGCGAACGCCACUGCACCCAAGAAUUAUCUCUAGAGACUAACGCUAGACAGGGACUUUGGGGCUGGGGCUGAGAGAACCUGGACCACCCCCCCAAGACCCAGAAGUGGGCAGUGGAGAGACAUGUAGGACUCGCCGCCGCCGCCUCCCCCCCACUUGCCAGAUGGCUACAAUCUAUAGGAGGACAUGCAUUCUCUACCGAGGUGCACUAAACAAUGAGGACAUUUAUUCCUGGGUGCUACCCUCAGAGUUGGAUGCCACUACAGGGAUCAACAAGAAAUAAGGAGACUCAAGAUUCUGCCUCAGAAACACUUGCAUCAAAUAUCUUGAAAUGAGUAAAUGGGCUUUUCCAUGUUCAUAAUUAAAAACCUUGAGGGAUAAAUGCUGCCA